Molecule: long non-coding RNA, 628 nt
Organism: Dioscorea cayenensis subsp. rotundata (Guinea yam)
Lineage: Eukaryota; Viridiplantae; Streptophyta; Magnoliopsida; Dioscoreales; Dioscoreaceae
Exons: 3
Source: RefSeq, a predicted model, not a curated record
GGUGAAUUAUCACUUUGGGGUCCAAACUUUGAUUUGUAUCAAAAUGGUGCCUCAGUUUUAAUUCCGUUUCACCGGUCAAUCACCCGAAAAUUUCUGGCUUGUUUCAUCUGACGUGGACGCCGGAAAGUCGAUGUCAGCCCUUAUUUGCCACGUCAUCUGCGCAGCUGGUGAUGCCACGUCAUUUUAAGUUUGCCACGUGUGUAACCCUACCCCAUGUCAGCAUACCAACAUUGCCACCAAAGCCCUUUUUCAUAUCUCUAACCUCUGUCUUUGUUCCCGAGAGAAGAGGAGAGAAAGGGCAAGCAAAUCUAGGGUUUGUCUUCAAUCUAGCAAGGGAGGCUCAAGGUUGUAGUCAAUGAACGAAAUUGCGGUGACCAACAAGCUUGAAGAAUAGAUGGCAGUAAAUUGGGAGAGAAGACAUGAGGGGGAGGAAGCCCCUGAGUAUUAAUGAUGCUUUGAGACUAAUUGAUGAAAAUGAGAGAGCUGAAGCAAAUACAGAAGCAGGGGGAGAAUAUCACAUAACACCACCAGCAUUGGAUCAUCAGGUGUCACAGUUCAUUACAAUUCCUGUUCAAGCAAUUCAUGAAGCAACACCCUUAGUAGAAUAUUCUAUGAGACAACAACAACA